ACUAAUAAUAAUAAUAACCCACCGGGGGUAACUAAUAAUAACCCACCGGGGGUAACUGACCGAUAAUAAUAACCCCACCGGGGGUAACUAAUAAUAAUACCCCCAGUGGGGUUAUUAUUAUUAGUUACCCCCGGUGAGGUUAUUAUUAUUAUUAUUAGUUACCUCCGGUGGGGUUAACUAAUAAUAAUAACCCCACCGGGGGUAACUAAUCAUAAUAAUAAUAUUAUUAUUAGUUACCCCCGGUGGGAUUAUUAUUAUUAGUUACCCCCGGUGAGGUUAUUAUUAUUAUUAGUU
RNAcentral lists this small RNA (294 nucleotides) under Pelobates cultripes (western spadefoot toad). Lineage: Eukaryota; Metazoa; Chordata; Amphibia; Anura; Pelobatidae. The record is from RNAcentral.